RNAcentral lists this ribosomal RNA (279 nucleotides) under uncultured bacterium. Its description in RNAcentral is "partial 16S ribosomal RNA". It matches the Rfam family "Bacterial small subunit ribosomal RNA", at positions 506 to 784 of the family's 1533-position model. The record is from RNAcentral.
UGCCAGCAGCCGCGGUAAUACGGAGGGGGUUAGCGUUGUUCGGAAUUACUGGGCGUAAAGCGCGCGUAGGCGGACUGGAAAGUAUGGGGUGAAAUCCCGGGGCUCAACCCCGGAACUGCCUCAUAAACUCCCAGUCUAGAGUUCGAGAGAGGGUGAGUGGAACUCCGAGUGUAGAGGUGAAAUUCGUAGAUAUUCGGAAGAACACCAGUGGCGAAGGCGGCUAACUGGCACGAUACUGACGCUGGGCCCCAAAGGCGGGGGAGGCAACAAGAUUUGAUA